RNAcentral lists this unclassified non-coding RNA (2391 nucleotides) under Megachile rotundata (alfalfa leafcutting bee). RNAcentral's name for it is "fAS-associated factor 2, transcript variant X1". Lineage: Eukaryota; Metazoa; Arthropoda; Insecta; Hymenoptera; Megachilidae. The record is from RNAcentral.
GCAUGAAAUAGAACCUUGAAAUUGUAAAUUAUUGUAAGAAGUCAUGACAUCGAAAACAUUAAGUAUAGAACAGAGUAACGAGACAAAACGUGUCGUGAUGAUAAUGAAUCGAGGUCCAUAAACCAGAGACUGCGAACGCUUGAGGUUAAUCAUUCUCGAUAUCACGCUCCAAAUGCUUGUGCAGCUUGAUCGUAAUUUUGUUCGAGUGCCAGGAUUUUGUAUCAGCUGAUGAACUCAGAAUUAUUUUAUAGAAUCGAGUGACUAAACGAUCAUCGAAGAUUUAUCUAGUCUUUUAUUGACAGAAUACGUUGAUAUGGCAGAUUUCGCGUUAAAUGAAUUUAGCAGUGAUCAGACUGAAAAAAUCCUUCAGUUUCAGGAUUUAACGGGUAUCGAAGACCUAUCAAUCUGUAGAGAUGUUUUGCAAAGGCAUAACUGGAAUUUAGAAGUAGCCGUACAGGAACAACUAAAUCUCUACGAAGGAAGACCAUCAAUGUAUGCACAGGAUUCGAGGUCAAGGCCACCACAAGUUGUUGAUGACAGCAAUUCUAGAAUAUAUUUUCAUUAUUCUGGUAGUUCUAGCGGCAGUGGUAGUUACCUGUGGUAUAUCUUUUCGUUAUGUUAUGAAAGAGUGAUCCGCAUCCUACAAUUACUUCUAUCCAUAUUUAGGAGAAAUGUUAGACCUGUAUCAGCUGAUCCAGUGGAAGAUGUAAUUAACUUCAUUCGAUCCUAUGAAGAACGUUAUGGUAAUAGUCAUCCUGUUUUCUAUCAAGGUUCUUAUAGUCAAGCUCUUUCAGAUGCAAAGCAAGAAUUAAGAUUUUUAUUGGUAUACUUGCAUAAAGAUGAAGCUCAGAAUAUCGAUCAGUGGUGCAGGAAUACAUUAGGUAAUCUAGAAGUUGUUCGGUACAUAAAUGUACAUACAUUGUUUUGGGCAUGUAAUGUACAAUCAGGUGAAGGUUACAAAGUGGCAGAAGCUCUUAAAUCUGGUUCUUAUCCUUUCCUGGCUAUUAUCGUUCUAAAGGACAACAGAAUGACAAUUGUUGGCCGGAUGGAAGGCACACCGUCUCCUUCUGAUUUGAUAUCUCGUUUGCAAACAAUCGUAGAGCACAAUGAAAUUAAUUUAAUACAAGCCCGCCAAGAAAGAGCGGAACGUAGUGCCGCACAAUCUUUACGCCAACAACAAGAUCAAGCCUAUGAAGAAUCAUUACGUGCAGAUCAAGAGAAAGAUCGUAGAAGAGAAGAAGAACGAAAAGCGCGAGAAGAACAAGAAGCUAGAGAAAAGGAACAAUUAAAUGCACAAGAAUUGGAAAUUCAACGUAUUCGUCGUGAGAAAGAACUUACUGUACACAAAGUACCUCUUGAACCAGAGCCUACACAUUCUAAUGCAUGUCAUCUUCAAAUUAAACUCGGAGAGAGAACGAUGAAAAGGCGUUUCUUAAUGUCUGACACAAUAGAAGAUGUUUAUCAUUGGAUAUUUAGUCAACCAGAUUCUCCAGUGAGUUUCGAAAUAACAACAAGUUUUCCGAAAAGAAUUUUAUAUCCAUGUAGAGAAGUCUUAACAUUAUCAGAUGCUGGAUUAACUCAUAGAGAAGUUCUUCAUGUUAAUGAUUUAGAUGAUUAACCUCUAAUGACAUUUCAAUACUGCAUUCUUUGUGUUUAAGUAUCAUUCCAUGGAAAAAUGAUACUGCCCGUAGCUCGAUGACGAGAGUGCAGUUAUGCAACGGGUCUAUGAAAUACAUUGGAGAAAAAGAAAUCGGAAACCGUCUAAUUAUACUGCACGAAAAGGAUCGUUUCAGCUACAAGUAUAUUUAUCGUGUGUCACGAAAUACAACACGUUCACUGAAAUAUACAUUGAAUAAUAUAAAAGGGCAGAUUUCAUUGUAGAAACUGAAAAGAAACUUAUAUAAUACGUCAUCAGAAAAGCUGUACACCAAACAUUUAUUACACUUGUCUUAAUACAUUUUAGCUUAAAAAAAUCUUUUAAUAAGCUGACUAAAAGAUGUAAGUACUUUACAAAGCUGAAGAAGCAAAAAAUGUUAUAUGUUAUAAUUAAAGCACAGAUUUAUAGUAUUUGCACUUGAUAAUUUUCUGAAAGUCAAAAUCACUUUAUUGUAAUGUUUCAAAUCUGUACUUUAAAUGUAACUAAUGAAACAAUUUCUGACAAGUGUGUGUUUCUUUUGCAUUUUGCCGUCCUUACAAUUCUGGUCAGUCUUAUUAAAAAUCAUAUUAGAUACAAUGAAAGAGCGAAUUCAUAAUAGAUCAUUCGGUUAAAUGAAAUUGUACUCGAUGGAAAUUUUUGUAUGAGGAAAGAGAGAAAGGAGUUAAGCGAUAAUAGUUCAUCUUAGAAUAUCAGAUUUUUUUGUAUAUGAUAAUUUUAUGAGUGUGAACACGACG